Molecule: ribosomal RNA, 400 nt
Filed under: uncultured bacterium
Lineage: Bacteria
Description: bacterial SSU rRNA
Rfam family: Bacterial small subunit ribosomal RNA
Source: RNAcentral
UGGGGAAUAUUGCACAAUGGGCGCAAGCCUGAUGCAGCCAUGCCGCGUGUGUGAAGAAGGCCUUCGGGUUGUAAAGCACUUUCAGUAAGGAGGAAAGGUUGGAUGUUAAUAGCAUUCAGCUGUGACGUUACUUACAGAAGAAGCACCGGCUAACUCCGUGCCAGCAGCCGCGGUAAUACGGAGGGUGCGAGCGUUAAUCGGAAUUACUGGGCGUAAAGCGUACGCAGGCGGUUUGUUAAGCGAGAUGUGAAAGCCCCGGGCUCAACCUGGGAACUGCAUUUCGAACUGGCAAACUAGAGUGUGAUAGAGGGUGGUAGAAUUUCAGGUGUAGCGGUGAAAUGCGUAGAGAUCUGAAGGAAUACCGAUGGCGAAGGCAGCCACCUGGGUCAACACUGACGCU